Molecule: ribosomal RNA, 506 nt
Filed under: uncultured bacterium
Lineage: Bacteria
Description: partial 16S ribosomal RNA
Rfam family: Bacterial small subunit ribosomal RNA
Source: RNAcentral
GAUGAACGCUAGCUACAGGCUUAACACAUGCAAGUCGAGGGGUAACGAGAGGAAAGCUUGCUUUCCUUGUCGACGACCGGCGCACGGGUGAGUAACGCGUAUCCAACCUGCCCCCAACUAGGGAAUAACCUUGCGAAAGUAAGACUAAUACCCUAUAAUUUCCUCAGAUGUCAUCUGACGAGGAAUAAAGAUUUAUCGGUUGUGGAUGGGGAUGCGUCUGAUUAGCUUGUUGGCGGGGUAACGGCCCACCAAGGCAACGAUCAGUAGGGGUUCUGAGAGGAAGGUCCCCCACAUUGGAACUGAGACACGGUCCAAAUUCCUACGGGAGGCAGCAGUGAGGAAUAUUGGUCAAUGGGCGGAAGCCUGAACCAGCCAAGUAGCGUGCAGGAUGACGGCCCUAUGGGUUGUAAACUGCUUUUAUACAGGAAUAAAGUUAGCCACGUGUGGUUAUUUGUAGGUACUGUAUGAAUAAGGACCAGCUAAUUCCGUGCCAGCCGCCGCAGUAA